RNAcentral lists this ribosomal RNA (1185 nucleotides) under Cyprinodon nevadensis amargosae (Amargosa River pupfish). RNAcentral's name for it is "16S ribosomal RNA". It matches the Rfam family "Bacterial large subunit ribosomal RNA", at positions 377 to 2126 of the family's 2925-position model. The record is from RNAcentral. Lineage: Eukaryota; Metazoa; Chordata; Actinopteri; Cyprinodontiformes; Cyprinodontidae.
AGCCCAACAGCUAGCCUCUUAACCUAAACUCAAAAAUUUUAUAUACAUAAACCCCUAUAAACUAACCCCACAAAUCAAAUCAUUUUUCCACCUAAGUAUGUGCGACAGAAAAGGAAAACAUGAGCGCGAUAGAAAAAGUACCGCAAGGGAAUGCUGAAAGAGAAGUGAAAGAACUCAGUUAAGCAUAAAAAAGCAGAGCCUAAUACUCGUACCUUUUGCAUCAUGAAUUAGCAAGUCCCCUCAAGCAAAAAGUUUUUUAGUUUGAAACCCCGAAACUUGACGAGCUACUCCAAGGCAGCCUAAUAAUAGGGCGAACCCGUCUCUGUGGCAAAAGAGUGGGAGGAACUUUGAGUAGAGGUGACAGACCUACCGAGUCAAGUUAUAGCUGGUUGCCUGGGAAAUAAAUAGAAGUUUAGCCUUUUUCCUUCUCCUAUCAACUCUGGCCUGCCCUAAGCCCAGAAAGCGAGAAUGCUAAAAGAGUUAUUCGAAGGGGGUACAGCCCCUUUGAAAAAAGAUACAACUUUAGCAGGUGGAUUCCAAACAAAUUUUUAAAGGUAAAUAUUUUGGUGGGCCUAAAAGCAGCCAUCCUGAAAGAAAGCGUUAAAGCUCAAAUAUACAAAUUACCCUUUAUCCCGUUAGUAUUUUUGCAUUCCCCUUACCUUACCAAGCCAUCCUAUCCCCAAUAGGAAAGAUCAUGCUAAUAUGAGUAAUAAGAGAAUAUGAUUCUCUCCAAGCACAUGUGUAAAUCAGAACGGACCCACCCCCGAGAAUUAACGGACCUAACCCAAGAAGGAACUAGAGUAAAAACUGAUAACAAGAAGAGCCUCUACAACUUUACCGUUAACCCUACACUGGUGUGCCAACCAGGAAAGACUAAAAAGAGAAGAAGGAACUCGGCAAAUUAUGCUCAAGCCUCGCCUGUUUACCAAAAACAUCGCCUCUCGACAACUACAUAUGAGAGGUCCCGCCUGCCCUGUGACUAAUGUUUAACGGCCGCGGUAUCUUGACCGUGCAAAGGUAGCGCAAUCACUUGUCUUUUAAAUGAAGACCUGUAUGAAUGGCUAAACGAGGGCUUAACUGUCUCCUUCUCUAGGUCAAUGAAAUUGAUCUCCCCGUGCAGAAGCGGGGAUACCAACAUAAGACGAGAAGACCCUAUGGAGCUUUAGACACAAUGACAGAUCAUGU